RNAcentral lists this ribosomal RNA (466 nucleotides) under uncultured bacterium. RNAcentral's name for it is "partial 16S ribosomal RNA". It matches the Rfam family "Bacterial small subunit ribosomal RNA", at positions 28 to 507 of the family's 1533-position model. The record is from RNAcentral.
GAUGAACGCUGGCGGCGUGCUUAACACAUGCAAGUCGAACGGAAAGGCCAGUGCUUGCACUGGUACUCGAGUGGCGAACGGGUGAGUAACACGUGGGUGAUCUGCCCUGUACUUCGGGAUAAGCUUGGGAAACUGGGUCUAAUACCGGAUAGGACAACUUUUUGGAUAUUGUUGUGGAAAGCUUUUGCGGUAUGGGAUGAGCUCGCGGCCUAUCAGCUUGUUGGUGGGGUAAUGGCCUACCAAGGCGUCGACGGGUAGCCGGCCUGAGAGGGUGUACGGCCACAUUGGGACUGAGAUACGGCCCAGACUCCUACGGGAGGCAGCAGUGGGGAAUAGUGCACAAUGGGCGCAAGCCUGAUGCAGCGACGCCGCGUGGGGGAUGAAGUCCUUCGGGUUGUAAACUCCUUUCGCUAGGGACGAAGCGUAAGUGACGGUACCUGGAGAAGAAGCACCGGCUAACUACGUG